UGCAAAGACUCCACACACAUGAUGGUUAUAUGCUCUCUUCUCACAACAUUUACUCUUGAUCCCAUCAAACAGCCACCAGCGACGUGUGGAUCGGUCUGAAUGAUCUGGGCUUCUCGGGUUUGUUCUCGUGGUCGGAUCAUCAUGAGGUCACGUUCACAUACUGGGCUCCUGGAGAACCCAACAACCACUUGGGCUUCAGUGAGGACUGUGUGGAGAUGUUCCAUCAGGUACUGCAUUUACUGACAGACACAAAACUAAACACAGGAUCACAAAUGUCAUCGUAAUGCUUUGUGUCUUAGACGGGCCGAUGGAACGAUGUCACCUGCACAGAGCUAAACACCUACAUCUGUAAGAUGCCCAAAGGUCACUAUCCUCUGCCCUCCGUGCAGCCCACCAUCUAUGGCUGUCCUCAGGGCUGGGAUGUUUUUGAGUACUCUUGCUAUUGGUUUGAAGAAGCUGCUAGAAGUCGUGAGGAAGCCAAAGCAUUCUGUGAGAGUCGGAGCAGCACUCUGCUGCAUAUCAUGGACUUGUAUGAACAGGCUCACUUCACAGCUCUGAUGAGCCGGUACUCCGGCGACUGGUGGAUCGGGCUGCGGGCGAGAGGAGGGGUGGCGGGUGUUGACUAUUACUGGGACAACGACGCUUUAAUAACUUAUACCAACUGGGGCCGCAACGAGCCAAGUAAUUCAACUGUUUACACUGCAAAUCCUUCUGUCCUAGACAUUACACCUGAGUGCCGUUUAGAACUGCUGGACAAAUGACAUCAUCGUUCAUGAACCAAAUAGAUUUCACUGUAUCUCUAGAUAACCUCGCUGGAUCCUGUGUCACGAUGUCGACCAGCCCGCUGGCAGGAUUCUGGAAUAACAAACAGUGUGAAGAAUCAUUCCCAUUUGUGUGUGAAGCUCCUCGUAAUGGCAUCUCUCCACCGACACGAGCUCCGACACUGCCUCCGGUGACCGGGUGCGAGAGCGGCUGGGGCGGACAGCCUCACUUCAGAAACUGCUACAGGGUGAUCUAAGCUAUGCCUUCUUCUGACUACGCUUACAUGCACACCACAAAGUUCGUUUUUGUUAGGAAGUGGCAUUCACGUGUACCUGCACCUGCACAUACAUGCGUUGCCAUCAGUAAGCAGCUUUAGU
Molecule: long non-coding RNA, 1139 nt
Organism: Cyprinus carpio (common carp)
Lineage: Eukaryota; Metazoa; Chordata; Actinopteri; Cypriniformes; Cyprinidae
Source: Ensembl